ACAUGCAAGUCGAACGGCAGCACAGUAAGAGCUUGCUCUUAUGGGUGGCGAGUGGCGGACGGGUGAGGAAUACAUCGGAAUCUACCUUUUCGUGGGGGAUAACGUAGGGAAACUUACGCUAAUACCGCAUACGACCUUCGGGUGAAAGCAGGGGACCUUCGGGCCUUGCGCGGAUAGAUGAGCCGAUGUCGGAUUAGCUAGUUGGCGGGGUAAAGGCCCACCAAGGCGACGUCCGUAGCUGGUCUGAGAGGAUGAUCAGCCACACUGGAACUGAGACACGGUCCAGACUCCUACGGGAGGCAGCAGUGGGGAAUAUUGGACAAUGGGCGCAAGCCUGAUCCAGCCAUACCGCGUGGGUGAAGAAGGCCUUCGGGUUGUAAAGCCCUUUUGUUGGGAAAGAAAAGCAGUCGGCUAAUACCCGGUUGUUCUGACGGUACCCAAAGAAUAAGCACCGGCUAACUUCGUGCCAGCAGCCGCGGUAAUACGAGGGUGCAAGCGUUACUCGGAAUUACUGGGGCGUAAAGCGUGCGUAGGUGGUUGUUUAAGUCUGUUGUGAAAGCCCUGGGCUCAACCUGGGGAAUUGCAGUGGAUACUGGGGCGACUAGAGUGUGGUAGAAGGUAGUGGAAUUCCCGGUGUAGCAGUGAAAUGCGUAGAGAUCGGGAGGAACAUCCAUGGCGAAGGCAGCUACUGGACCAACACUGACACUGAAGCACGAAAG
RNAcentral lists this ribosomal RNA (719 nucleotides) under Stenotrophomonas maltophilia. Its description in RNAcentral is "bacterial SSU rRNA". It matches the Rfam family "Bacterial small subunit ribosomal RNA", at positions 53 to 759 of the family's 1533-position model. Lineage: Bacteria; Pseudomonadati; Pseudomonadota; Gammaproteobacteria; Lysobacterales; Lysobacteraceae. The record is from RNAcentral.